CCUACGGGAGGCAGCAGUGAGGAAUAUUGGUCAAUGGGCGCGAGCCUGAACCAGCCAAGUAGCGUGCAGGAUGACUGCCCUACGGGUUGUAAACUUCUUUUAUGCAGGGAUAAAGUGCGGCACGUGUGCCUUUUUGUAUGUACUUUAUGAAUAAGGAUCGGCUAACUCCGUGCCAGCAGCCGCGGUAAUACGGAGGAUCCGAGCGUUAUCCGGAUUUAUUGGGUUUAAAGGGAGCGUAGAUGGGGUGUUAAGUCAGGUGUGAAAGGUUGCGGCUCAACCGUGAAAUUGCAACUGAUACUGGCAGCCUUGAGUACAGUUGAGGUAGGCGGAAUUCGUGGUGUAGCGGUGAAAUGCUUAGAUAUCACGAAGAACUCCGAUUGCGAAGGCAGCUUACGAAACUGCCACUGACAUUGAUGCUCGAAAGUGUGGGUAUCAAACAGGAUUAGAUACCCGGGUAGUC
Molecule: ribosomal RNA, 460 nt
Filed under: uncultured bacterium
Lineage: Bacteria
Description: partial 16S ribosomal RNA
Rfam family: Bacterial small subunit ribosomal RNA
Source: RNAcentral